GUGGAGGCCAGCCGUCAACCAAUCUACAGGUUUGACCUCGGAUCAGUAGGGUACCCGCUGACUAAGCAUAUCAAUAA
This 77-nucleotide ribosomal RNA is filed under the name Pseudowardomyces humicola. RNAcentral describes it as "Wardomyces humicola partial 28S ribosomal RNA". Lineage: Eukaryota; Fungi; Ascomycota; Sordariomycetes; Microascales; Microascaceae. The record is from RNAcentral.